Molecule: ribosomal RNA, 445 nt
Filed under: uncultured bacterium
Lineage: Bacteria
Description: partial 16S ribosomal RNA
Rfam family: Bacterial small subunit ribosomal RNA
Source: RNAcentral
GUGAGGAAUAUUGCGCAAUGGAGGCAACUCUGACGCAGCCAUGCCGCGUGCAGGAAGAAGGCGCUACGCGUUGUAAACUGCUUUUAACCGGGAAGAAACCCCAGGACGUGUCCUGGGUUGACGGUACCGGAGGAAUAAGCACCGGCUAACUUCGUGCCAGCAGCCGCGGUAAUACGAAGGGUGCAAGCGUUAUCCGGAUUCAUUGGGUUUAAAGGGUGCGUAGGCGGAGCGUUAAGUCAGUGGUGAAAUCCUGCAGCUUAACUGUAGACGUGCCAUUGAUACUGGCGCUCUUGAGUGCGCUUGAAGUGGGCGGAAUGUGCCGUGUAGCGGUGAAAUGCUUAGAUAUGGCACAGAACACCAAUUGCGAAGGCAGCUCACUAAGGCGAUACUGACGCUGAGGCACGAAAGCGUGGGGAUCGAACAGGAUUAGAAACCCUGGUAGUCC